RNAcentral lists this long non-coding RNA (1427 nucleotides) under Equus caballus (horse). RNAcentral's name for it is "lncRNA (ENSECAG00000060079.1)". The record is from RNAcentral. Lineage: Eukaryota; Metazoa; Chordata; Mammalia; Perissodactyla; Equidae.
GUCAUUAGGCAUCAGGGAAACGCAAAUCAAGACCACAAUGAGACACCACUUCACACCCAUUAGAAGGGCUAUAACUUAAAAAAACAAAAAAGAAAAAUAACACGUUGGCAAGGAUACGGAAAAAUUGGAACCCUCACGCCCUGCUUGCGGGAAUGUAAAGUGGUUCGGCUGCUGUGGAAAGCAGUUUGGCAGCUCGCCUAAAUGUUAAACAUAGAGUUAGCAUAUGACCCAGUAAUUCCACUGGGUGGUAUUUACCCAAAAGAACUGAAAACAACCAUUCGAACAUACCUGUUUUGACAGGUAUGACACACGCUCCAACAUGGAUGAACCGUGAAAACACUAUACUGAGUAAAAUAAGCCAGACACAAAGGACAGACGCUGUAAGAUGCCACUUACUUGAAAUAUGUAGUGAGGAGUCGGGCUCCGGGUUAAACGUCUUUGUGCGACUUUUUGGCCGCCACAGGCCAUUACAAACGCUUUCCCUGGUGGCCAUGCGGGGAGGGGUGGGGAAGCUCCCUUCCCCCAGCAGCCCGGCCCGGCGGCGGGCACUGCGGGCUCUGAGGGAGCUGCAGGCGAGGACUCUGCCCCUGGCCGGCCUUCUCCUCGCCCAUUUACAUUCCUAGCCGGGUGCCUCCAUUCCUAGGUCGCUAUCUGCGACCUCAGGCAGGGCUCUUCUCCAGGCGCCUCUGUGAGGCCUCUUUAGGUGGGGAUGAGGGGGGACCACCAAGAUACUGCCCCCCUGACUCAGGGCCCAGUGCUCCUCCACUCCCCGCUGUCCUCCUCCACACCCACCCCUCCUCCUCCCUGUGGGGUCCCCUCAACACGUGCUCUGCUCCACCUGACCCUCCACAGGUGCGCCACUCAUGGGGGAAGAUGGAACGGGGCGUCGGUGCCUUCUCGCUUCUGUCACCGCAGACUUCCUAUAAAUGUGGUCAUACUCUACGCUUCCUUUGUGUAAGGCUCCUUUCACUCAGGGCAAUGUUUCUGAGGUUCACCUUUACUGUGGGCAGCGGCAGCUCGUUCCUUCCCGUUGACUCUUCAAGGUGUGAAAAUUAAUAAAGGGAAACCUUACACAAAAUGGAGUGGGGAGGCCAGAAGGGGGAGCCCUCAGCACUACCGCUCUGCGUCAAUUCCAGGAAAGAUCGUCCGUCACAGGCCCCGGAAGAGACGUCCACUGCCUUCCAGACAAGAAAGACCACUCCAGCAACCCAGCCAACGAGAAACAGUCACCACCCUGAACAAGACCUUGUUUUCCACCAAUGGGCUUCUGUUCAAAACAACCCUCCCAACUUCCUCCUUUUUCUCUAUAAAAUAAAGUCCCUCUCCUUUGUGUGCUAGACUUGACUGUGGCUUUUGCUAUAGUGUGCUUGUCCCAAAUUGCAAUUCCUUUCCUAUUCCCAAAUAAACUGAUUUUGCUGGUAAAAUAA